AUGUGGUAUCUUCGUAGAGGUGUUGUUCUAACCAAAGGCAACCUUCCACGACGCAACUGGCCAGGAUGUAAGAAGUGUUGUUUUUGUACUCAUAACGAGACAAUCAAAUACCUCUUUUUUCAAUGCAAUUUUGCGCGUUCUACGUGGUCAGUCAUCGAAAUAGCGUCAAAUUUGUAUCCGCCCAUAAGUGUUGCCAAUAUUUUUGGUCAUUGGUUGGACGGUAUUUCAAAUAGGUUCAAAACGCUAAUAAGGGUGGGAGCGUACGCCUUACUAUGGUCGCUUUGGCUAUGUAGAAACGAUUUAGUUUUUAAUGAUAAAAAUGCUUCUCCUCUGCAGGUUAUUUCCCGUUGUACGCACUCACUUCGUAUGUGGUCUAUACUAUAA
This 384-nucleotide ribosomal RNA is filed under the name Triticum aestivum (bread wheat). RNAcentral's name for it is "partial small subunit ribosomal RNA". The record is from RNAcentral. Lineage: Eukaryota; Viridiplantae; Streptophyta; Magnoliopsida; Poales; Poaceae.